ACGAACGCUGGCGGCGUGCUUAACACAUGCAAGUCGAACGGAAAGGCCCCUUUGGGGGUACUCGAGUGGCGAACGGGUGAGUAACACGUGAGUAACCUGCCCUUGACUUCGGGAUAACUUCAGGAAACUGGGGCUAAUACCGGAUAGGAAUCCUUGCUGCAUGGUGGGGGUCGGAAAGCUUCGGCGGUUUUGGAUGGACUCGCGGCUUAUCAGCUUGUUGGUGGGGUAGUGGCUUACCAAGGCUUUGACGGGUAGCCGGCCUGAGAGGGCGACCGGCCACAUUGGGACUGAGAUACGGCCCAGACUCCUACGGGAGGCAGCAGUGGGGAAUAUUGCACAAUGGGCGGAAGCCUGAUGCAGCAACGCCGCGUGCGGGAUGACGGCCUUCGGGUUGUAAACCGCUUUCAGCAGGGGCGAAGCUUGUGGUGACGGUACCUGCAGAAGAAGCACCGGCUAACUACGUG
Molecule: ribosomal RNA, 464 nt
Filed under: uncultured bacterium
Lineage: Bacteria
Description: partial 16S ribosomal RNA
Rfam family: Bacterial small subunit ribosomal RNA
Source: RNAcentral